This is a long non-coding RNA of Hippocampus zosterae (dwarf seahorse), 2215 nucleotides long. RefSeq lists it as uncharacterized. Lineage: Eukaryota; Metazoa; Chordata; Actinopteri; Syngnathiformes; Syngnathidae. The transcript has 2 exons. The record is from RefSeq and is a predicted model, not a curated record.
UGGCCGUGUCGUCACAUACAGUAAAUACAAAACACUCAAAUUCCAAAACUUCAUGAGUUCAUAUUCACCCCCUCCAAAUAUUUGAGCCGCUGAAAACGAAAGAGGUCGCCUUUUGCAGGAGAAUGAUUUCACAUUUUAUGACGGCUGCCCGGUGGCUUACGCUAAGGGCUCUAUUUUGGCGCUUAGUCUGAAUUAAGACUGGGUUUUGGUAUUUUUGUAGAUGCGUGCAGCUUGACUCAUUUGGAAAACAGGCGUUGUGGGCGUGAACUUGAUUAGCUGUCAAAUGAACCAGCUCCUCUCAUUCCCUUUAGCAUCAGUGUGAGAUGGGCGCAGUCUUUGACAUGGCUGGAGCAGAUAAUGAUUUGCUCGAGUCUACCCAAUUUAUGUUUAUAAGGAACUGCGAGCAGACCUCCACAGGUGGAUCAUGUCAGGAGACCAGAUCACAAAUCUGUGAAGUGGGUGCUUCUAGACCCCCUUAAAAACAAACGGCUGACAUAUGAUUCCUUGCUUCUGAGUAUGACGCUGCUGGGUGCGUGCGUGCGUGUGUGUGUGUGUGUGUGUGUACUUGCGCGUGGGUGUGGUUGUUUCACAACUUGUGAAAAAGCGAAAGACUACUUUGUCAUUAAUGAGAGGUUAGCAACAUCUUGUGGAAUAUUAUGGCAUUACAAAGAGAGCACACAAAUAAAGAAAGAAAAUUAAGACUCAAAUAAACCUACAAGUUCGGAUUCAACUUCUGUACGUGAGUCAAAACAAUGAACUCGUUGGCGUGACUUUACUUAAUUUGUGUGCGGCAUAGUAAAUGCUGAAUGCUGCAAACUGCUGCGUCACCAUGUUUGUUUUGAACUUGAGGUUCCACUGACUGACCCUGACUUUGGAGACCCCAAAGCCCUACUAGGGCAAUAUCCAUUUAGGACAAUCUUUCAAAGCUAUCCAACAUUGGCUUGAUUUUUAUAAUGCAUUCCUAUAGUUUGGCUAAUAUUAUGCACAAAAAACCCGCUCAAUUAGCUCAUGAUAACAACUGAAUAAUUACACCAUAGUUGUAUGCAGAUUGCAAUGUUGUGAUUAAAAGUAAAAAGUAAUCACAAAAAUGAAUACUGAAGUAAAGUACAGAUACCUGGGAAGUCGACUUAAGUACAGUUACACAUUUUCAACAAAUCUGUGAAUUUGUAAAUACGUGUGAGUUCAUUGUACGCCGUUUAUAGUCAUCCCCCCCAAAAAAUAACAUGGCCGUUGCCAAUAAGGUGCCCAACUUUAUGUACGCUCUGUAUACUCUAAAUGUCGGAUGACGCCCAGGUGCUAAAAUGGCGUCUCCUCCUUCUUCUUCCAAUUCCCGUUGGCGAGAUGCGAGAGAAAGAUGGCGAAGUGAGGAGGAGGAUGGGAUGGAGGAAGUGGACUGAAUGUAAAAUGCAGUGAGGUGACAGUGAGAUUGGGGGCGUGGGGGCUGAGACGACUGGGCGCUUAGAAGGGGUUGGGGGGGGGGGGUUCUGUGCAGGCGGGGGCGGAUGCUUGACCGAGUGUUUUCACAGCCGUCUCCAUGGCAACCAGGCAGCAGCUCUCUGGAAUCGAACAUGCAAAUGUGAAGUGGCAAAGCGCUCGGUCGCCGGCUCCCACGCUCGGCGGAAAUUUUUGGACCGUUGGGAGAUGGCUCGGGGAGGGUUGGGGGGGUGGGGGCGUGAGCCGAUGGCAAUGCGGGGGGCUAACAUGAUGAUGAUGAUGAUGAAGGCGAGGAGAUGCCGCUAGCCAGGAGAGAGAUUUUGACAAAGAGAAAAGAUGAUGUCAUGGCUUCGCCGCAUCCAGCUUGAAAGUAGGGCAUAGGAGGCGAAGAGAAGAUGGAAGCGUAGUUGCAAGUAAGGAAGCAAGAGAAUUGAGGAGGAAGCGAGCAAGGAGGAAGUAGGGGGGGCCAGAAGGAAGUGAGGAGUCAGUCAGAAGUAAGGGAGCAAGAGAAGUGAGUUGGAAGUCAGUGACAAUUAAUAAGGAAGAUAGUCAACUCAACUCGUCUCAUUUGAUAACAUCAGUUUGGCAGCACAAUUCUUCAACAUAAAAGCUCCAACGGUUGGGCACCCCCAGUUGAGGUUUACUGUCAAACCAUACAUUAAAAACACACACACAAACAAAACCACGAUGUAUAUUUUAAACAACCAAACAAAUUAAACUCAGGAAUGCCCCUGCUAGCUUAACACCAACACGUAAUGGAAAAAGCCAUUGACGGGUAGCA